Long non-coding RNA from Pocillopora verrucosa, 512 nucleotides. RefSeq lists it as uncharacterized. The record is from RefSeq and is a predicted model, not a curated record. Lineage: Eukaryota; Metazoa; Cnidaria; Anthozoa; Scleractinia; Pocilloporidae.
CGAACAGGAAAACAAAGUAAUGCGGUCUACUUCACUAGGUAGCUGCUCAGUCCAAGGUCUACAUAACUCCCAAAAAUAACUUUGUAGAUCUUUCUUUGUGAUCAAAUGGGAAGAGAGGUCUUGUCUUGUCAACUGUAUGACACCAACUUGAACAGAUGAUCAUCAGUUUAGUACUUUUCUGACAUUCCGAUGAACCGCUGAAGUCUGCUGUAUGUUAAAAGAAGACGUUGUGGAGUUAAUAUGUCGACGAGGUGAGCUUUCAAUAUUAGCCUAAUUUUCACGUUGGCUAAUAAAACCUUUCUUUGUGGCACAAGCCAUAACAACUGACUGGGCUGCUACAUCAUAUUAUACAUGUCUUUUACUUGUUUCAAGCAUGAUUUGUCAAAUCUUGUUUGCGGAAGAAAGCAGCUCUUAGGAUUUGAACCCACCUGUUGAAUGCGUCACCGCCUACGCACUUCACGGAACAGUUAUUUUCCUGGGUCCACACACCAAACUUGCAUAUAAGUAUUGGA